UGGGGAAUAUUGCACAAUGGGCGCAAGCCUGAUGCAGCCAUGCCGCGUGUGUGAAGAAGGCCUUCGGGUUGUAAAGCACUUUCAGCGAGGAGGAAGGUGGUGAACUUAAUACGUUCAUCAAUUGACGUUACUCGCAGAAGAAGCACCGGCUAACUCCGUGCCAGCAGCCGCGGUAAUACGGAGGGUGCAAGCGUUAAUCGGAAUUACUGGGCGUAAAGCGCACGCAGGCGGUUUGUUAAGUCAGAUGUGAAAUCCCCGGGCUCAACCUGGGAACUGCAUUUGAAACUGGCAAGCUAGAGUCUCGUAGAGGGGGGUAGAAUUCCAGGUGUAGCGGUGAAAUGCGUAGAGAUCUGGAGGAAUACCGGUGGCGAAGGCGGCCCCCUGGACGAAGACUGACGCUCAGGUGCGAAAGCGUGAGGAGCAAACAGGAUUAGAUACCCUGGUAGUCCACGCUGUAAAACGAUGUCGAUUUUGGAGGUUGUGCCCCUUGAGGCGUGGCUUCCGGAGCUAACGCGUUAAAUCGACCGCCUGGGGAGUACGGCCGCAAGGUU
RNAcentral lists this ribosomal RNA (551 nucleotides) under uncultured bacterium. RNAcentral describes it as "partial 16S ribosomal RNA". It matches the Rfam family "Bacterial small subunit ribosomal RNA", at positions 355 to 895 of the family's 1533-position model. The record is from RNAcentral.